GGCUUCGUAGUUCAGCUGAUAGAUCACUUGCAGCGUUUGGGCAUGCUGUUUUUGUAACUGGUUCGAAUCCACUCGAAGCCA
This is a non-coding RNA of Paragonimus skrjabini miyazakii, 81 nucleotides long. NCBI's taxonomy places the organism in Eukaryota, Metazoa, Platyhelminthes, Trematoda, Plagiorchiida, Troglotrematidae. The record is from the annotation of a GenBank genome assembly.